Molecule: ribosomal RNA, 253 nt
Filed under: uncultured bacterium
Lineage: Bacteria
Description: partial 16S ribosomal RNA
Rfam family: Bacterial small subunit ribosomal RNA
Source: RNAcentral
UACGUAGGGUGCAAGCGUUGUCCGGAAUUAUUGGGCGUAAAGAGCUCGUAGGCGGUCUGUCGCGUCGGCUGUGAAAUCCCGAGGCUCAACCUCGGGUCUGCAGUCGAUACGGGCAAACUAGAGUAUUGCAGGGGAGACUGGAAUUCCUGGUGUAGCGGUGAAAUGCGCAGAUAUCAGGAGGAACACCGGUGGCGAAGGCGGGUCUCUGGUACGUGACUGACGCUGAGACGCGAAAGCGUGGGGAGCGAACAGG